GCCAAGCAUGGUGGCGCAUGCCUGUAAUCCCAGCUACUCAGGAGGCUGAGGCAGGAGAAUCGCUUGAACCCAGGAGGCAGAGGUUGCAGUGAGCCGAGAUCGUGCCAUUGCACUCCAGCCUGGGUGACAGAGCGAGAUUCUGUCUCAA
Molecule: unclassified non-coding RNA, 148 nt
Organism: Macaca fascicularis (crab-eating macaque)
Lineage: Eukaryota; Metazoa; Chordata; Mammalia; Primates; Cercopithecidae
Rfam family: Metazoan signal recognition particle RNA
About the family: The signal recognition particle (SRP) is a universally conserved ribonucleoprotein. It is involved in the co-translational targeting of proteins to membranes.
Source: Ensembl